AUUGAACGCUAGCGGGAUGCCUUACACAUGCAAGUCGAACGGAGUGGCGAACGGGUGAGUAAUGUAUCGGAACGUGCCCAGUAGCGGGGGAUAACUACGCGAAAGCGUAGCUAAUACCGCAUACUAUUGGAGCGGCAGAUAUCGGAUAAGCUAGUGGGUGGGGUAACGGCUCACCAAGGCGACGAGCCCUAGCUGGUUUGAGAGGAUGACCAGCCAAACUGGUACUGAGACACGGCCCAGACUCCUACGUGAGGCAUCAGUGGGGAAUCUUGCACAAUGGGCGAAACCCUGCUCCAGCCAUCCCGCGUGUUCGAUGAAGGCCUUCGGGUUGUAAAGCACUUUUUGUAGGAAAUCGGUACCUGCAGAAUAAGCACCGGCUAACUACGUGCCAGCAGCCGCGGUAAUUC
RNAcentral lists this ribosomal RNA (407 nucleotides) under uncultured bacterium. RNAcentral's name for it is "partial 16S ribosomal RNA". It matches the Rfam family "Bacterial small subunit ribosomal RNA", at positions 30 to 526 of the family's 1533-position model. The record is from RNAcentral.